RNAcentral lists this long non-coding RNA (1173 nucleotides) under Homo sapiens (human). RNAcentral's name for it is "HSALNT0281780". Lineage: Eukaryota; Metazoa; Chordata; Mammalia; Primates; Hominidae. The record is from RNAcentral.
GCCACUUACUGUAAUGUAAAUCAGUUUGUCAGAGAUUAUCAAUGGAUUCUCACAGGAACAAAUAUAAUACAAAAUGGAAACUGUAUGAAUAAAGGACUGCAUUAAGGACGGUGACCUCUAUAGCCUAUUGAUAGAGAAUAAUUUCAUUUGGACACGUACUUUCUGGCAUUUGUGGAGCAACGCUGAUGAAGUGCAAUAAUGUAAAGUGCUGGCAAAGGUGACCCACUGGAGAAUGAGAAGCUGACCCCAUCAAACCUAGGUAGAUGCUGCUGCCCUGGAAAACUUCGCUUGUGUUGAAACCAGGUAAACAAAGGUUUUUAUGGUUCAUGGAGGACAAUCAACCCCUUCACAAUCUCAAACCCAAAGAGUGGAUCUUCUGAGAACAUCUACCGUAAAGGCUAUAGUUACACAACAGACUUUAAAUUCUUUUGUGAAAGUUAUGAUAGAAUUGGCUGAAUAAAGAAGUAUCUGUGCAGCUGCUGGCACUUGUGGCCUAUGGAGAAAUACAUCAAAUGAAAAUGAUAGAGAUUCAGUGGUAGGGGAUUAAUGAAGAGAUUGCUUAGUUAAGUGAGUAGACUCUUUAUCUAGCUCGUUCUUUGAUCUAUUUGAUUUUAGAUGGUUUGGAUUAUGGGGACCCUGGGUAAGGAUCAAACUCCAAACUCUUAUUAUUAUCCUCCUGAUAGUCAUAAUAAUAGUCUACCUUGUUAGCUGUAUUUUCUCAAAGGUUUUAAAUGUUUGUAUGCAUUCUAGAGAUGUCUAGAAUGUCAAAUUGGUCUUUCUUCAACUGGAAUGACAAGAGCUGAAAGAAAUGUGUGACCAGGAGGACGCUGUAACCUAUGAAUGACAUGCUGAGUUGAGAAACCCAAAACGAUGGUAACUGAGAGUGAUGCUAAGGCCCUAAGUUUUGGUCACACUCUCACCCAAGUGAGAAUCAGACCAAAAAGGGGCAAUUUUUUUGAAACAAAAUUCUGGGAGGCCAUUGUUUUGUACUGAGCUCAUGCAUUAGGCCCCAACAAACCAAACCAAAGUGGAGUCACUUGUGCUAAGACUUUAAGGAAACACUUAGAUCCUAGAACAGACCAGGUUGUUUUUCUCCUGCAAAUCUCUAUAACAAACAUUCCUGACAGCAUAGGUAUCCAACCCCUGAAGUUCCCAUUAAAUCUUUUUUUUGUU